GGUCAAGCUACUAAGGGCAGACGGUGGAUGCCUCGGGCGCGGGAGGCGAUGAAGGGCGUGGUAAGCUGCGAAAAGCCUCGGGGAGCCGCAAACAGGCGUUGAUCCGGGGAUGCCCGAAUGGGGAAACCCACCUGGGGUAAUGCCCAGGUAUCCGCAAGGGUAACCUUGCGGAGGCCAACCCGGGGAAGUGAAACAUCUCAGUACCCGGAGGAAAAGAAAUCAACCGAGAUUCCCUGAGUAGCGGCGAGCGAAAGGGGAACAGCCUAAACCGAUCGGGUGUCGAAGCCCGUGGGCGUUGCUCGAUCGGGGUCGUGGGGGUGUACCGGAGGGAGCCACGGAUCCCUCGGGAAGUCAAAAAGUCCUUUCUCUAGCCGAAGGCGCCUGGAAUGGCCCGCCAUAGAGGGUGAGAGCCCCGUAGGCGAAAGAGAAGGGGCCUUCCUGGGUACACUACCCAAGUAGCACGGGACACGUGGAAUCCCGUGUGAAUCUGGGGGGACCACCCUCCAAGGCUAAAUACUCCCCGCGCACCGAUAGUGCACAAGUACCGUGAGGGAAAGGUGAAAAGAACCCCGUGAGGGGAGUGAAAUAGAACCUGAAACCGUCUGCCUACAAGCUGUCGGAGCCGGAUUUAUCCGGUGACGGCGUACCUUUUGUAUAAUGGGCCAGGGAGUUAUUCUCGGCGGCGAGGUUAAGCCGUGAGGCGGAGCCGUAGCGAAAGCGAGUCCGAAUAGGGCGUCUAGUCGCCGGGAAUAGACCCGAAGCCGAGCGAUCUACCCAUGGCCAGGGUGAAGGAAGGGUAACGCCUUCUGGAGGCCCGAACCGGUUGAGGGUGAAAACUCAUCGGAUGAGCUGUGGGUAGGAGUGAAAGGCUAAACAAGCUCGGUGAUAGCUGGUUCUCCCCGAAAUAUAUUGAGGUAUAGCCUCGGGUGGUCGCUGCCGGAGGUAGAGCACUGGUUGGGCUAGGGGGCUUACCGGCCUACCGAACCCAGCCAAACUCCGAAUGCCGGCAAGCGUAGCCCGGGAGUCAGCCUGUGGGCGAUAAAGUCCGCAGACGAGAGGGAAACAACCCAGAUCGCCAGCUAAGGCCCCCAAAUCCGGGCUAAGUGGUAAAGGAGGUGGGCCUGCUUAGACAACCAGGAGGUUGGCUUAGAAGCAGCCAUCCUUUAAAGAAAGCGUAACAGCUCACUGGUCGAGUGGGCCCGCGCCGAAAAUCUAACGGGGCUUAAGCCCGGUGCCGAAGCUGCGGGUUCAUGCCGCAAGGCAUGAGCGGUAGGGGAGCACUCCGGUUGCCGUUGAAGGCAGGUCGUGAGGCCUGCUGGAGGUCCCGGAGGAGAGGAUCCUGGCACGAGUAGCGAUAAAGGGGGUGAGAAUCCCCCUCGCCGUAAGCCUAAGGUUUCCUGGGCAAGGUUCGUCCUCCCAGGGUUAGCCGGCCCCUAAGGCGAGGCCGAAAGGCGUAGCCGAUGGGAAUGGGGUUAAUAUUCCCCAGCCACCAGAGUGGAGACCAAGGGGUGACGCAGGAGGAAAGGGCUCCGGGGUCGUUACUGGAAGACCCUCCAAACCUGUAGGCCGAUGACGGACCGAGGCAAAUCCCGGUUCCGAGGCUGAGGGGGAGUAAGUAACCGGGAAUUUAUCCCGGGAAGGAGCUCGGCCCACACUGCCAAGAAAUAGCCUCGUGGUCGAUGAAGCUCUGGUGACCGUACCGCAAACCGACACAGGUAGGCGGGGUGAGUAUCCUAAGGCGCGUGGGGUAACUCUGGCCAAGGAACUCGGCAAAAUGGCCCCGUAACUUCGGGAGAAGGGGUGCCCGCGUGUAGGUGUAGGUCCUCGCGACCGAAGCCGAGGCGGGUCGCAGUGAAAAGGGGGUGGCGACUGUUUACUAAAAACACAGGACUCUGCUAAGUCGUUAAGACGACGUAUAGGGUCUGACGCCUGCCCGGUGCCGGAAGGUUAAGGGGAGGGGUUAGCCAGCUUCGGCUGGCGAAGCUCCGAACCGAAGCCCCGGUAAACGGCGGCCGUAACUAUAACGGUCCUAAGGUAGCGAAAUUCCUUGUCGGGUAAGUUCCGACCUGCAUGAAUGGCGUAACGACUGCCCCGCUGUCUCGGCCAGAGGCCCAGCGAAACUGUAGUCUCGGUGAAGAUGCCGGGUACCCGCGGUGGGACGGAAAGACCCCGUGAACCUUUACUGCAGCUUAGCAUUGAGUCUUGGGGUGGCAUGUGUAGGAUAGGUGGGAGGCUGUGAAGCCGGGGCGCCAGCUCCGGUGGAGCCACCCUUGAAAUACCACCCUUGUCACUCUAGGGCUCUAACCUGGCAGAGUUAUCCUCUGCAGGGACAGUGCUUGGCGGGCAGUUUGACUGGGGCGGUCGCCUCCUAAAGGGUAACGGAGGCGCGCAAAGGUCCCCUCAGGCGGAUUGGAAACCCGCCGUCGAGUGCAAAGGCAUAAGGGGGCUUGACUGCGAGACCGACGGGUCGAGCAGGGGCGAAAGCCGGCCUUAGUGAUCCGGUGGUCCCGAGUGGAAGGGCCAUCGCUCAUCGAAUAAAAGGUACUCCGGGGAUAACAGGCUGAUCUCCCCCAAGAGUUCACAUCGACGGGGAGGUUUGGCACCUCGAUGUCGGCUCAUCCCAUCCUGGGGCUGGAGAAGGUCCCAAGGGUCGGGCUGUUCGCCCGUUAAAGGGGUACGUGAGCUGGGUUUAGAACGUCGUGAGACAGUUCGGUCCCUAUCCACCGUGGGCGUAGGAGACUUGAGGGGAGCUGCCCCUAGUACGAGAGGACCGGGGUGGACGCACCUCUGGUGGCCCAGUUGUCGCGCCAGCGGCAUAGCUGGGUAGCUAUGUGCGGAAGGGAUAACCGCUGAAAGCAUCUAAGCGGGAAGCCCACCCCAAGAUAAGGUCUCCCGUGGCCGUUAAGGCCCCUGAAGGCCCCUCCAAGACUAGGAGGUUGAUAGGCCGGAGGUGGAAGCCCAGCAAUGGGUGAAGCUUACCGGUACUAAUCGGCCGUGCGGCUUGGCCAC
This 3009-nucleotide ribosomal RNA is filed under the name Thermosulfuriphilus ammonigenes. RNAcentral's name for it is "Bacterial large subunit ribosomal RNA". It matches the Rfam family "Bacterial large subunit ribosomal RNA". The record is from Rfam by way of RNAcentral. Lineage: Bacteria; Pseudomonadati; Thermodesulfobacteriota; Thermodesulfobacteria; Thermodesulfobacteriales; Thermodesulfobacteriaceae.